UACGGAGGGUGCAAGCGUUAAUCGGAAUUACUGGGCGUAAAGCGCACGCAGGCGGCUUUUUAAGUCGGAUGUGAAAGCCCCGGGCUCAACCUGGGAAUUGCAUCUGAUACUGGAAAGCUAGAGUAUGUGAGAGGGGGGUAGAAUUCCAAGUGUAGCGGUGAAAUGCGUAGAGAUUUGGAGGAAUACCAGUGGCGAAGGCGGCCCCCUGGCACAAUACUGACGCUCAGGUGCGAAAGCGUGGGGAGCAAAC
This 250-nucleotide ribosomal RNA is filed under the name uncultured bacterium. RNAcentral's name for it is "partial 16S ribosomal RNA". It matches the Rfam family "Bacterial small subunit ribosomal RNA", at positions 524 to 773 of the family's 1533-position model. The record is from RNAcentral.